GAUGAAGAACGUAGCGAAAUGCGAUAAGUAAUGUGAAUUGCAGAAUUCAGUGAAUCAUCGAAUCUUUGAACGCACAUUGCGCCCGCCAGUAUUCUGGCGGGCAUGCCUGUUCGAGCGUCAUUUCAACCAUCAAGCCCCCGGCUUGUGUUGGGGACCUGCGGCUGCCGCAGGCCCUGAAAACCAGUGGCGGGCUCGCUAGUCACUCCGAGCGUAGUAAUACAUCUCGCUCAGGGCGUGCUGCGGGUUCCGGCCGUUAAAAGCCUUAUUUUACCCAAGGUUGACCUCGGAUCAGGUAGGAAGACCCGCUGAACUUAAGCAUAUCAAUAAGCGGAGGG
Molecule: unclassified non-coding RNA, 335 nt
Filed under: soil metagenome
Description: partial contains 5.8S ribosomal RNA, internal transcribed spacer 2, and large subunit ribosomal RNA
Rfam family: 5.8S ribosomal RNA (bases 1-120)
Source: RNAcentral